Molecule: ribosomal RNA, 460 nt
Filed under: uncultured bacterium
Lineage: Bacteria
Description: partial 16S ribosomal RNA
Rfam family: Bacterial small subunit ribosomal RNA
Source: RNAcentral
CCUACGGGUGGCUGCAGUGAGGAAUAUUGGUCAAUGGACGAGAGUCUGAACCAGCCAAGUAGCGUGAAGGAUGACUGCCCUAUGGGUUGUAAACUUCUUUUAUAUGGGAAUAAACUGUUCCACGUGUGGAAUUUUGUAUGUACCAUAUGGAUAAGGAUCGGCUAACUCCGUGCCAGCAGCCGCGGUAAUACGGAGGAUCCGAGCGUUAUUCGGAUUUAGUGGGGUUAAAGGGAGCGUAGGCGGAUUGUUAAGUCAGUUGUGAAAGUUUGCGGCUCAACCGUAAAAUUGCAGUUGAAGCUGGUAGUCUGGAGUACAGGAGAGGUGGGCGGAAUUCGUGGUGUAGCGGUGAAAUGCUUAGAUAUCACGAAGAAUUCCGAUUGCGAAGGCAGUUCACUGGACUGCAACUGACACUGAGGCUCGAAAGUGUGGGUAUCAAACAGGAUUAGAUACCCCAGUAGUC